Anas platyrhynchos (mallard) is the source of this 4013-nucleotide long non-coding RNA. RefSeq lists it as uncharacterized. NCBI's taxonomy places the organism in Eukaryota, Metazoa, Chordata, Aves, Anseriformes, Anatidae. The record is from RefSeq and is a predicted model, not a curated record.
CAGGAAGUCUUGCAGAUGGGGAAGUAUCUUGAGGAUGCCUCUCUCAAAGGCCAGACAGUUAGAAUGACAGAUUGAUGCUGGUGGUUUAAGUUUCAUAGUGAAAUGACUGUAUGGUCUACAGCCGAUAUUUCACAGAUGGCUACAUUUGUGUUGUCUCAGCAUGUAGUCUUCAUGUUUGUGGAAGUUCAGUGAAAUGCCCAAGGUAAACCACACGUUAUGGAGUUUGCAUAGAUCCUUGGAUCUUGGAUAGCUGCAUUUAACUAUAUAAAAGAAUGAUGAAGAUCACACAAAACUUUCAGUAGCAGUAAAACUGGGGUUACCUGCUCCUCCUGGCUGAAACAUGCUCACUCUGAUUUUCCUCAUAUACAGUUCUUACAGGACAAUGAAUGGCAGGGAGAGAAUCAUUAUCUGAAAGUAAAUGGAAUGGAUUGAACAGCUGGAGCUACAGUGGAAAGAACAGAAACUAACAGCUGGUUUUACCAUCCUCAUCCAGAACAGAUAAUAUUGCAUACAGUAAUAGAAAAUAUUAUAGAAAAAGUAAUGCACUUUGCUCUGGAGUAAAACUAUAUGAAGUGAUCCUUCUAAAGUUUUUUUUCUGCUUUUUGAGAACAAUAAGCAACCAAGGAUGAAAACAUGCUUUCCUAUGGAUUCUUCCAAAUCUGCAGUGUUUGAAGUUAUACUGGGAAAAAAGGAAAAAGGUGGUUUCCUGUCUGAAGUAGAAAAUGAUUCUGUUACUGGCUGUUAGUAAAAAUAUGCUGUAUCUAUACAUAUGGGGAUUGGCAAUGCAAACUCUUUCCCAUCGUAUUUUGAUAUUUAGCAAAAUCGUACAUUUCUUGCACACUGAAAAUUUGCUUUUGAGAUGGCCUGUACAAAAAUGAAAAUGAUAUAAAUGAGUAAAAAUGAAAUCUCUGCAAAGCAGUAGAGGGAAACUUUUUGGCAGCAAGCUACAUACUGCCAUCAGGACUAGCAGAUGCAGAAAGAGAGACUGAAGCAGAGAAAAUGGAAGUUAAUGAGUUUUUUAUUUAACUUAAAAUAAAACAGGAGGGAAAAUCUUUUAUUUUUUUACAGAAUCUAACACUUUACCUUCACUAGGAAUCAAUGUUUUUCUAUUUUUUAAUCAUCUCUGACACUGAACAAAACAAAUAAAUCUGUUCAUUAUGUACAAAAAUGGUUUAUUUUAGUAAUUGCUUAAUAUUUCUGCAAAUAUUUUGAUUUUAACAACAUUUAGCAAGCUAUGCUAAGAUUUCUGCUUUCAAAGUGUACUAAAGUUAGUUUACUUUAAAAAUUCAAAACACAUACCAGAGACUUCAACAUCUGUUAGCAGAGCCACCAAACUGACAUAUGAAUGCUGUGUAGAGGUAGUUGGGAAUUUUUUGACAAAUUAUUUUCACCAUAUAAAAACUUAUUAAUCAACAUUGAUUAAUCAAAACUUUAGAGAAAUUCAUCUAUAACAAAAAACAGCAGAGUUCUUUGUGUAGUUCAAGGCAUAUCUAUACUGAAUUCCCCAUUACAGCUUCUCAGCUUCUGAAAAAAGUUAAGCUCUUUUUAUAAUACCUGAACUUUACAGCAUUAUGGACACAAGCCCAGUGAAGCAUGGACUCUCAAGGACUGAAUCUCUCAGAUUUUAGGACUCAGUUUCAUCCUAAUGCAAAACAGAAUAUGCAAACUCUUGAGUACAACUUAAUAAACAGUAUGGAGUACAAGAUAACUGCUUCCCUUCAGGUUCUAAACUAAGCAAAAUUCAAUCUGAAAAGGUUUAUAGAAAAUUAAAUUAAAGGUUUGUAGAAAAUCUACAAGGGCACUAGGAGGCAUAUAAUAUGAGCUAAAUGCCUACUGAAGAUCGUUCUAAACCCAUUACAAAAGAUGAUAUUUUUCUAGAACAUGCCAGAUGCACAUAAAAUGUAAACAAAUUAAACCACUAAUAUAGUUGUACUAUUACUGCUAAUGUUAGCAAUUUAAUGGAGUUUACAGCAAUGUUGUUCUUGUAAAUCAAUGUCACUUAUAAGAGGGACAGUUACUUAUAUCUGCUAAAUUAUAAAACAAUCCAAGGAGCAGUUUGAAGUGUAAAAUAUGUUUUAUAUAGUCUAUGUAUAUUUCAUUCCUUACUCAAAACUACUUGCAAAGGAUGCUGGAACCAAUAGCCAUUUAACAAAUAAAACAUUCAAAUACUGAUAAAUAGGGGUUUUAUAUAUGGGCUUUAAAAUGUAGAGUACCUCAAAAUAAUUAUGUUCCUUUGAAUUAUUGUCUAGAUUUGAAAUAAAGGUUCUUGUUUGAUAGCAAGCAGUCCAGUGUAUAAUGACACCAUUCUAAAUGAUAAUCACACUGGGAUGGAUGAAGCUCUGUGUUGGUCAGUACAUAUACAUUUUGAUGAUAAAUACUUUCAUCACUCAUUUGCAAAAAUUGUCCAAAGCUUGUAUGAAAGCUAACUUCUCUUUCAACAGUAUUUCAAUGAAUAAUAAGUAAUGAAUCAUGAGAAAAUGCUUAGCAUAUGUCAAGCAGCAUCUUUUUUCUUUCUAUGUGUAGAGAAAAUGAAUGCUAGUCCUCUGGAAAAUGGAAUUAUUUUAACAAUAUAAAUAUAUUUACUGGAAAAUACUGGAUAGGUGGAGACAGGCAUGCAAUUUGACAAUGAACUGGUCACAUGGUAUCAGUCAUUCCCACGUGCUUUAAUUUCAGAAAUGACAUGGUAUUUUUAAUAACAUUUUAUUGUUAAGGAUGUUAUCAAAGACGUUAUCUAGAGGAGAAUAUGAUAGGGAGCAAUUAUCUUAAUUAUAUACUAACAACCUCUUAGAAGUAUGAUAAUGUUGUAAGGGAAAGUACAUUAAAGCUGAAAUAUGUAAGAACUGAAGUGGCUUAUGUCAGCCCCCUGUGCAUAUGCAUUCUGAAGUCUUAAAUUAUGAUUGUAAAGCUAUUUUUCCAUGAAAAUAAAUAAAUAAAUAAAAAUCUGCUGCAGUGAGGACAUAAAGGAGUGGGGAAAAUGGUCAAUAGAACAAACCAACUUGCUGCACAUUACUCUAUGGAUGAGGCAGGAGAAUAAGUAUUGUAAAAACAGUAGAAAUGUGGAAUAUCUUUGCUAAAUAUCAAACAGGAAUUCACAUGAAAAUAUGUUUUCAUCCAAAGGGAAUGAUAAAUGAGAGAUACUAAUGCUAAAAAAUUUUAAUCAAUAGAUCUAUCUAAUUUAUAUACAAGAAUUCAUAAUGAUCUGGAAGGAAGUUAUCUCAACAAAUGGUGCUGGACUUAGUUCUUAAUAGGACUUAGAAUAGUAAUAAUAUUUGAGAAGACUAGAAGAAAGCUAAUGAAAUACACUUAGUAGUUAUAGGCUUUCAGUCCAACAUAAGGAAAAUAGAAUAGCUGAUAUGGAUCACCAUUAAUAAUAAAUGAAAGUGGUAUAGGCAACGCAAAUUAGCACAGCUUCAGCAAAAACAGUUAUUAAUUAAUCUGUUUUUUGAAUGUAAAUAUAAGUUUGUUUAAUACAAGUAAAUAGAGUUUAUCUGACAUUCCCUUUAUAAUAAAUUGGGUUAAUAUUACAUUUGGGUUAUUAAAAUUUAGUAAUGUGGUCUAUGUUUGCAACGGAGAUAAUGUGAAAAAAUUAGCAAUGGUUCCAGAUUUAUGUGCAUGAAAGCAUCCACUGUAUAUCACACUCAAUCUUAUUUUUCAAACUACCCAUGUGGAAAAAAAAAAAAGAUAUAUACAUUAUAUGUAUAAUUUCUACACAUCUUUAACGUAUAAAUACUAUUUGGUGUGGAAGGGUCAAAAAGCCCAUGUAAACUUCAUUUCUUUUCAUGCUGUCUGUUGGGAUUCUUAAAGCUGCUGGUUAAAUGCACAAGAAUCAGUCAAGAAAGUAUGAAAAAACAGAGAGUACUGAAUACUUCUACUUCCUGCUUUCUCAGUUCUCUCAUCUCUUUUGAGAUGCUGAUGCUUGAUUUUUGCUUUCCUGCAUAAAUUCUGGUUUUGUCAAAUAAUACCUGUUAACAAAAUAUAAAUUGACAUAGAAUCAGAAAUGCAGAUGGACUGUG